AACGCCGUAGUUGACAAAGGUUCAAUUUAAAAUUGAAUGGACGUGGGUUCAAAUCCCACCAGCUCCA
RNAcentral lists this transfer RNA (67 nucleotides) under Emiliania huxleyi. Its description in RNAcentral is "tRNA-Leu". It matches the Rfam family "tRNA", at positions 14 to 71 of the family's 71-position model. Rfam says of the family: Transfer RNA (tRNA) molecules are approximately 80 nucleotides in length. Their secondary structure includes four short double-helical elements and three loops (D, anti-codon, and T loops). Lineage: Eukaryota; Haptophyta; Isochrysidales; Noelaerhabdaceae. The record is from RNAcentral. RNAcentral also lists the same sequence under 4 other names.